UGGGGAAUUUUGGACAAUGGGGGAAACCCUGAUCCAGCAAUGCCGCGUGAGGGAAGAAGGCCUUCGGGUUGUAAAGCUCUUUUGUCAGGGAAGAAACACCGGCUCUAACACAGUCCGGGAAUGACGGUACCUGAAGAAUAAGCACCGGCUAACUACGUGCCAGCAGCCGCGGUAAUACGUAGGGUGCGAGCGUUAAUCGGAAUUACUGGGCGUAAAGAGUACGUAGGCGGGUGUUGAAGUCAGCGGGGA
Molecule: ribosomal RNA, 249 nt
Filed under: uncultured Polynucleobacter sp.
Lineage: Bacteria; Pseudomonadati; Pseudomonadota; Betaproteobacteria; Burkholderiales; Burkholderiaceae
Description: partial 16S ribosomal RNA
Rfam family: Bacterial small subunit ribosomal RNA
Source: RNAcentral